GAUCGGACAAUGAUCUGAUAUGAAAUGAUCUGUAAAAUAACUAAGACCAUAUAUAAUGGUGUUGAAUCUUUUUAUUCAACUGUUGAAUAUCAGAUAAAAAGUGCAACAGAGUAGUUGAACAAGUAAAAAAUGAUGACCUGGAUUAAACCUAGUUGAAUUUAUUAUUCAAAGGUUGAAAAACUAAAAGUGGAAACCACCACAUACACGUGGUGACUUCUGAACCAAACAUAAAAAUAUUUGCUCUGCAUACGUUAGUAACGUGCAUUCAAACA
RNAcentral lists this long non-coding RNA (272 nucleotides) under Brassica napus (rape). RNAcentral describes it as "long non-coding RNA (BNAP_LNC016284)". Lineage: Eukaryota; Viridiplantae; Streptophyta; Magnoliopsida; Brassicales; Brassicaceae. The record is from RNAcentral.